RNAcentral lists this ribosomal RNA (421 nucleotides) under uncultured bacterium. RNAcentral describes it as "partial 16S ribosomal RNA". It matches the Rfam family "Bacterial small subunit ribosomal RNA", at positions 361 to 774 of the family's 1533-position model. The record is from RNAcentral.
AUUUUGGACAAUGGGGGAAACCCUGAUCCAGCCAUCCCGCGUGUAUGAUGAAGGCCUUUGGGUUGUAAAGUCCUGUUGGCAGAGAAGAAAAGGUAUCUCCUAAUACGAGAUACUGCUGACGGUAUCUGCUGAAGAAGCACCGCCUAACUACGUGCAAGCAGCCGCGUUAAGACGUAGGGUGCAAGCGUCAGACGGAAUUACUGGGCGUAAAGCGUGUGUAUGCGGUGCGGAAAGAAAGAUGGGAGAUCCCAGGGCUCAACCUUGGAACUGCAUUUUGAACUGCCGAGCUAGAGUAUGUCAGAGGGGUGUAGAAUUCCACGUGUAGCAGUGAAAUGCGUAGAUAUGUGGAGGAAUACCGAUGGCGAAGGCAGCCCCCUGGGAUAAUACUGACGCUCAGACACGAAAGCGUGGGGAGCAAACA